RNAcentral lists this ribosomal RNA (253 nucleotides) under uncultured bacterium. Its description in RNAcentral is "partial 16S ribosomal RNA". It matches the Rfam family "Bacterial small subunit ribosomal RNA", at positions 524 to 776 of the family's 1533-position model. The record is from RNAcentral.
UACGUAGGGACCAAGCGUUGUUCGGAUUUACUGGGCGUAAAGGGCGCGUAGGCGGCGUGCUAAGUCAGUUGUGAAAUCUCCAAGCUUAACUUGGAACGGUCAACUGAUACUGAUGUGCUAGAGUGCAGAAGGGGCAACCGGAAUUCUUGGUGUAGCGGUGAAAUGCGUAGAUAUCAAGAGGAACACCUGAGGUGAAGACGGGUUGCUGGGCUGACACUGACGCUGAGGCGCGAAAGCUAGGGUAGCAAACGGG